This 411-nucleotide ribosomal RNA is filed under the name uncultured Verrucomicrobiaceae bacterium. RNAcentral describes it as "partial 16S ribosomal RNA". It matches the Rfam family "Bacterial small subunit ribosomal RNA", at positions 355 to 774 of the family's 1533-position model. Lineage: Bacteria; Pseudomonadati; Verrucomicrobiota; Verrucomicrobiia; Verrucomicrobiales; Verrucomicrobiaceae. The record is from RNAcentral.
UCGAGAAUCUUUCACAAUGGGGGAAACCCUGAUGGAGCGACGCCGCGUGGAGGAUAAGGUCUUCGGAUUGUAAACUCCUGUCAUGCGAGAACAAAGCCUCACGGCCUGAUAGUAUCGCAAGAGGAAGAGACGGCUAACUCUGUGCCAGCAGCCGCGGUAAUACAGAGGUCUCAAGCGUUGUUCGGAAUCACUGGGCGUAAAGGGUGCGUAGGCGGCAUGGAAAGUCAGAUGUGAAAUCCGGGGGCUCAACCCCCGAAUAGCAUCCGAUACUACCAUGCUUGAGGGUUGUAGGGGAGCUUGGAAUUCUCGGUGUAGCAGUGAAAUGCGUAGAUAUCGAGAAGAACGCUUGUGGCGAAGGCGAAGCUCUGGGCAACUUCUGACGCUGAUGCACGAAGGCUAGGGGAGCAAACG